This 253-nucleotide ribosomal RNA is filed under the name uncultured bacterium. RNAcentral's name for it is "partial 16S ribosomal RNA". It matches the Rfam family "Bacterial small subunit ribosomal RNA", at positions 524 to 776 of the family's 1533-position model. The record is from RNAcentral.
UACGGAGGGGGCUAGCGUUGUUCGGAAUUACUGGGCGUAAAGCGCACGUAGGCGGACCAUCAAGUUGGGGGUGAAAUCCCGGGGCUCAACCCCGGAACUGCCUCCAAGACUGCUGGUCUGGAGGUCGAGAGAGGUGAGUGGAAUUCCGAGUGUAGAGGUGAAAUUCGUAGAUAUUCGGAGGAACACCAGUGGCGAAGGCGGCUCACUGGCUCGAACCUGACGCUGAGGUGCGAAAGCGUGGGGAGCAAACAGG